CGGCGGACGGGUGAGUAAUGCCUGGGAAUAUGCCCUGAUGUGGGGGAUAACCAUUGGAAACGAUGGCUAAUACCGCAUAAUCUCUUCGGAGCAAAGAGGGGGACCUUCGGGCCUCUCGCGUCAGGAUUAGCCCAGGUGAGAUUAGCUUGUUGGUGAGGUAAGAGCUCACCAAGGCAACGAUCUCUAGCUGGUCUGAGAGGAUGAUCAGCCACACUGGAACUGAGACACGGUCCAGACUCCUACGGGAGGCAGCAGUGGGGAAUAUUGCACAAUGGGGGAAACCCUGAUGCAGCCAUGCCGCGUGUAUGAAGAAGGCCUUCGGGUUGUAAAGUACUUUCAGUUGUGAGGAAGGCGUAUACGUUAAUAGCGUAUGUGUUUGACGUUAGCAACAGAAGAAGCACCGGCUAACUCCGUGCCAGCAGCCGCGGUAAUACGGAGGGUGCGAGCGUUAAUCGGAAUUACUGGGCGUAAAGCGCAUGCAGGCGGCUUGUUAAGCCAGAUGUGAAAGCCCGGGGCUCAACCUCGGAAUAGCAUUUGGAACUGGCAGGCUAGAGUCUUGUAGAGGGGGGUAGAAUUUCAGGUGUAGCGGUGAAAUGCGUAGAGAUCUGAAGGAAUACCGGUGGCGAAGGCGGCCCCCUNNACAAAGACUGACGCUCAGAUGCGAAAGCGUGGGGAGCAAACAGGAUUANAUACCCU
RNAcentral lists this ribosomal RNA (696 nucleotides) under Photobacterium sp. HR05-13. RNAcentral describes it as "bacterial SSU rRNA". It matches the Rfam family "Bacterial small subunit ribosomal RNA", at positions 96 to 788 of the family's 1533-position model. The record is from RNAcentral. Lineage: Bacteria; Pseudomonadati; Pseudomonadota; Gammaproteobacteria; Vibrionales; Vibrionaceae.